GAAGUGCGAUAAGCAAUGCGAAUUGCAGAAUUCCGCGAAUCAUCAGAUCUUUGAACGCAACUGGCGCUGGAGGGAUAUCCUUCCAGCAUGCUUGUUUCAGUGUCUAGAAACCUCAAUUAUUUUAAUGUGAUUGAAGAGUUAAUCUAACUAGCUUAAAUUAUACUCAUCUCUCAUGAAAUAUGUAGAUGUGGAUCUUUUGAUCCAGCGAAGUAGUCACAUUUUAUGUGUGAUUUCGUUGGUCACUCAAAUUAUCCGAUAACAUUUAUAUUAACAAAAUCAUCAAAUAAUGCAUCUGAAAUCAAGCAAGGUCACCUGCUGAACUUAA
This 325-nucleotide unclassified non-coding RNA is filed under the name uncultured fungus. RNAcentral's name for it is "sequence contains ITS1". The stretch from base 1 to 105 matches the Rfam family "5.8S ribosomal RNA", at positions 50 to 154 of the family's 154-position model. The record is from RNAcentral. Lineage: Eukaryota; Fungi.